GAAGUCAUACAGAUGGACCUAAAUAUGGAUAUCAACAUCGACAGCAAGAUGUACAGGUGAGUCCUCUUGUAACAUUCUUUAAUGUACUUCUAUUUUAUUAUUAAUUCCUGUACACUCUGAACCGAAUUUGUUGCAAAAUAAAGUCAAUCAUGUUCUCUUAUACGCACACACAACAGAACAGCAACCUCUACAUGGUGCGAAGCCUACUGCAACAAAAACGUGAUCUUAGUGUCUUUGCAACUCAGCACACUCUACCAGCAGCACUGACAGCUGAUAGAUAAGACUGCUGUCAUCCAUUGAAGAGCUGACCAGAAACGUGAACAGAAAGACUGCAGCUGCACCUGAUGGGAUCCCUGCCAUAACAGAUGUCUUCUGUCCAGUGAAGGCAGUGGAGAAGCCCUACACUGAUGUUGAAACUGUGCCACUCUUCUAGAAACCGGCUACAAGGAUGGGCAGCCGUUUUCGCAAAGUCAGCCAACCUCUUGCUUCCAAAUGACCCUUAUCCAGAAGUAUCUGUGAGUGCCUCAUCAGCAGAAACUAAAGUGGAGAACUACCUCUCAGAGAAAAACGCACACAUAAGAAAAGCGACGCACUUCAGUACUGGAAAGAACAUCCUAAUCUGUUUCCCUCUAUGGCUGCUGUUGCGAUCCCAGUGUGCCCCCUGUAGCUCUGUGGACAGUUUUUGAUUUGUUUACAUCUCACCCAACCGGUCACGGUAGAUGGCUGCACCUCCCUGAGCCUGGUUCUGCCAGAGGUUUCUUCCUGUCAAAAGGGAGUUUUUCCCUUCCUACUGUCGCCAAAGUGCUUGCUCAUAGGGGGUCAUAUGAUUGUUGGGUUUAUCUAUAUACAUUAAUGCUUGUAUGCUUUUCAUUUAUACUUUUGCUUUACUCUUCAGUUCAUAAUAUAAAGUUACUUGAAUGGUUUCUUUUUCCUUUUUUUAUCUUAUAUUGCUUUGCUGUUUACCACAAUCUAAAUAUCAUGUUUAAAUGUAUUACAUUAUUGUCAAUGGUAUUUGUACAAAAUAUAGUUUGAAUAAGAUA
Molecule: long non-coding RNA, 1040 nt
Filed under: Oreochromis niloticus (Nile tilapia)
Lineage: Eukaryota; Metazoa; Chordata; Actinopteri; Cichliformes; Cichlidae
Description: lncRNA (ENSONIG00000029913.1)
Source: RNAcentral